ACGAACGCUGGCGGCGUGCUUAACACAUGCAAGUCGAACGGAAAGGCCCUGCUUUUGUGGGGUGCUCGAGUGGCGAACGGGUGAGUAACACGUGAGUAACCUGCCCUUGACUUUGGGAUAACUUCAGGAAACUGGGGCUAAUACCGGAUAGGAGCUCCUGCUGCAUGGUGGGGGUUGGAAAGUUUCGGCGGUUGGGGAUGGACUCGCGGCUUAUCAGCUUGUUGGUGGGGUAGUGGCUUACCAAGGCUUUGACGGGUAGCCGGCCUGAGAGGGUGACCGGCCACAUGGGGAAUGAGAUACGGCCAAGACUCCUACGGGAGGCAGCAGGGGGGAAUAGGGAACAAGGGGCGGAAGCUUGAGGCAGCAACGCGGCGGGGGGGAGGCGGGCGUGAGGGUUGUAAACAGAUGUCGCCGGGGAAGAAGCGGGAGGGCGGGUAAGGGGAAAAGAAGAACCGGCUAACUACGGG
This 467-nucleotide ribosomal RNA is filed under the name uncultured bacterium. Its description in RNAcentral is "partial 16S ribosomal RNA". It matches the Rfam family "Bacterial small subunit ribosomal RNA", at positions 29 to 507 of the family's 1533-position model. The record is from RNAcentral.